Molecule: long non-coding RNA, 1153 nt
Organism: Bufo gargarizans (Asiatic toad)
Lineage: Eukaryota; Metazoa; Chordata; Amphibia; Anura; Bufonidae
Exons: 5
Source: RefSeq, a predicted model, not a curated record
AAGAAGUGCUGCAGUGGCUCCACCUCUCGCUCCUUUUGCGCUGAGCCGCGGGUCUGAUGUGGCGGGAGGAGAUGGCGCUCUUAUCGUGGCCUCUGUGCAGACCAGAUGGCGGCCGCGUGUCUCCACAUGUUUUCGGCGGUGACACAAGAGUAAGCAUUCAGGAGCAGCUCGACAUGUGGGAUGAACACACUGAGGACUCAUCAUAUCCCGAUGGACUCUGCGUGGGAGAACUUAACGAGAGAGCUGUACGCAACUGACGGGGAGCAGCACUUCCUCACAAAGCAAGAGGAUGGUUGAGGUAAAGAUUCGCUGGCACACCUGAUCUAUUUUUGUGUGAAAUGCUGCCACCAUGCAGUGAAUUGGGGGCUCAAAAAUAAAGCCUAUAUAUGCCACCAGCAGCUGUUACGAAGAUCAAGAUGUAAUUGGACCUGACCUUGACAGAAAAACAGACGCCAGUGGGCCUUAAUACUAGAAUAGGCUUGGUAGUUAAAGGAGUUAAUGUAAUUCCAUUUUGGAACUGAGAACAUGGAGGAUGAGGCAGAUGCUUCCACCACUCCUAAAUCGCUCUCGUGGCCCACUGCAGAGGAUCCAGAGGUGAAUGAGUAACCAGGGACUUCUGCUGCAUCCAACCCACCAGCUGCCGAACCAGUUGGUGUCCAGACACCAUUCCAGAGCCCUGAUCACCCGGCGACUGAGUAUGCCAUCCACUGCGGCAGCUAUAGGCCAAAGAGUUCUGGAAUACAUCUUGGAAGCUGUCUGAGAAUGAUGCUGUCCUUUCCCUCAGAAGUCGGGCAUCUCAGCUCCUGGCAAUUCCUGCAAUUGUAAAGAACACAAGGAAUGGACAUUAGACCAGUGGAAAUCUGUGCUUUUGGUCUGAGUCCAAAUUUGAGAUCUUUGGUUCCAACCACCGUGUCUUUGUGCAACGCGGAAAAGGUGAAUGGAUGGACUCUACAUGCCUGGUUCCCACCGUGAAGCAUGGAGGAGGAGGUGUGAUGGUGUGGGGGUGCUUUGCUGGUGACACUGUUGGGGAUUUAUUCAAUUGAAGGCAUACUGAACCAGCAUAUGGGAACUUUUUAUGUUGCAGUAUUGUCAUGUAAUCUGUCCACAAUCAUAUAUUUAUAAAAAAAAAUAAUAAUAAAGAUUGAAGUUAUAA